AUACGGAGGGUGCAAGCGUUACUCGGAAUCACUGGGCGUAAAGCGCGCGCAGGCGGCCAUUUAAGUUGGAUGUGAAAGCCUACGGCUCAACCGUAGAACUGCAUCCAAAACUAUUUAGCUAGAGUGUGGGAGAGGAAGAUGGAAUUAGUUGUGUAGGGGUAAGAUCCGUAGAGAUAACUAGGAAUACCAAAAGCGAAGGCAAUCUUCUGGAACACUACUGACGCUGAGGCGCGAAAGCGUGGGGAGCAAACGGGAUUAGAAACCCUAGUAGUCC
RNAcentral lists this ribosomal RNA (274 nucleotides) under uncultured bacterium. RNAcentral's name for it is "partial 16S ribosomal RNA". It matches the Rfam family "Bacterial small subunit ribosomal RNA", at positions 523 to 796 of the family's 1533-position model. The record is from RNAcentral.